Molecule: ribosomal RNA, 109 nt
Filed under: Oryzias latipes (Japanese medaka)
Lineage: Eukaryota; Metazoa; Chordata; Actinopteri; Beloniformes; Adrianichthyidae
Source: RNAcentral
AAGUAUGGUUGUGCCAACCUCAUUUCAUCUUAUCCUGGGUGCAAAGCAGGGUUGGGUCUGAUUAGGCCUUGGAUGGGAGACUGUCUGGGACUUCCAGGUGCUGAAAGUU